Molecule: ribosomal RNA, 633 nt
Filed under: Triticum aestivum (bread wheat)
Lineage: Eukaryota; Viridiplantae; Streptophyta; Magnoliopsida; Poales; Poaceae
Description: partial small subunit ribosomal RNA
Source: RNAcentral
AUGCCCUACCGCCUAUCCAUAUACGCUGAUGAUGUCGUGGCCUUUCUCAACCCAUCCAAAACCGAGCUCCAUGCUGCUAUCGAGCUGCUCUCCUGCUUCCAACGGGUCUCUGGCCUUCGAGUAAAUUGGUCCAAGAGCGCCGCCACGCCCAUCAUAUGCAGUGAUGGAGAGGCCGAGUGUGCGGUCGAGGAAUCUGACUGUGACAUUAGGAAUUUCCCGGUGACCUACCUUUGCUUGCCUCUGACUGAUGGGUGCCUGCGACGGGAGGACCUGCAGCCGGCCCUUGACAGUCUGUCCAAGAGAUUGAGAGGGUGGAAAGCCAAGCUAAUUGCACUACCGGGAAGAAUUGAACUGGUUAGAACCACCCUCUCCGCAAUGGCAAUUUAUCGGAUAAUGGCGAUUGCGCCGCCAAAGUGGUUCAUCAAGAUGGUGGAUAGGCUGCGUAGGGGCUUCCUUUGGGCGGCGGACGAGGUUUCCCCGGCUGGUAAAUGCUUAGUAAGAUGGAGCAAUGUCUGUCGGCCUCGAGAGCUCGGAGGACUGGGCAUCCAUGACCUGCAGAGACAGGGAAGCGCCUUGCUGGCCCGUUGGUAUUGGCUCACAUGGACUGAUAGAGACCGGCCUUGGGGUAAUCUG